This 243-nucleotide ribosomal RNA is filed under the name uncultured anaerobic ammonium-oxidizing bacterium. Its description in RNAcentral is "partial 16S ribosomal RNA". It matches the Rfam family "Bacterial small subunit ribosomal RNA", at positions 440 to 674 of the family's 1533-position model. The record is from RNAcentral.
GAGUUAGGAAAUGUAGGCUCGCUAAUAUCGGGUCUAUUUGACAAAGGCUCCAAAGGAAGCCACGGCUAACUCUGUGCCAGCAGCCGCGGUAAUACAGAGGUGGCAAGCGUUGUUCGGAAUUAUUGGGCGUAAAGAGCGCGUAGGUGGAUUUGUAAGUCAGACGUGAAAGCCUUCUGUUCAACGGGAGAAUUGCAUCUGAAACUACAGACCUUGAGUAUAGGAGGGGAGAGUGGAACUUCUGGU